AAUGCUAUACGUUGCGAUCUAUCACCUUCCAAUGUUCGCGCUGAACUAAUCUGAGGCUGAGGUGAGGUGGAAUGUGUUGGUGAACAAACGCGUCGAACCUAAAGUCUCUCUCUCUUGAGCGUCACGCAAGAUUGGUCAGAGAGCUGUAGUACAUACGAUCUAUUGAUGAGGAAGGAAGUAUGUGGUGCAAAUCCACGAAAAAAAUACGUUGUUUUCCGCAACACCCUGUCCAAUGCUGUUGUGGUGACGGACGCCAUAGCCGAAUCUCCACCCAUAAUUGCCGCAGCAUGAGCAGCUGCUGCCGCUUCGGAGAACAUCGAUCCAUUUUGCGCAAUUUGCUGCUGUUGUUGCUGCUGUUGCUGUUGCUGCUGCUGCUGCAUGGUCGUGUCCGUAUCAUUAGCACCCUGAGCCUGUGGUGUGAGAAUCAUGUGUGAAGCUGAUACGGGUGUAGUCUCUUGGAGCAUCGGUGUGGCGGAAUUGAAUGAAAUAAGAGCCUCCAUGGAUUCGGUGGUAAUUGUAUUCUGUUGACUCGUGAGAAUCUCAUUCAGAAUCAUAUUGUGUACCGUAUUUGGGGCAGUCGUUGCGGCUGCUUGGGUUGUUUUAUGAUCUGCCUGUGGGCUUGCAAGUAUUGGAGAUAUCAUUGAAUUCAUCAUUGUCUCCGAUGCUGUUUGUGGAAUCGUCAAUAGGGGAACCUGAAAUUUAUUUUGAGUUAUUUAAAGAAAAAAUCUUUGCCUAAUUUUUCUGUUUAUAUACAAUUUAUAUAGAAUAAUUUAUUUUAAUCAAUUUAUUCUAGAAGAAAAUAAUGAGAAGAUAACGUUUUUUUUGCAAGAAAAAUAAAAGCAAUUUCCGCGAAAGUUAAAAGCUCCAUAAAGUUACAAUUUCAUCAACAAAUAUUUGACUGAAAAUAAUUUAUUUACUACAGCACCUCAUAGUUUUGUAUAAACAGUUCAUUAUAUAGAAUUAGUCUAUUUUACAGAAAAGAAAGAUAAAAAUAAACAGCAUACAAAUAUAUACUCACAGGUGCUUCGAGCAUUGGAGAAUGUGCUCCAGUACUGGCAGAACAGAGCAUUGUUGGGGAUACGGUGGGAUUCAUGAUAAUAUCGGGUGACAUUGUAUGAUCACUCUGUGUCGUUUGCGAUGUAAGGGAUGGCGACGACAGCACAUUCAUCCCAUUCACCUCGGACAGCGUCACGACGGAUUGGGAAUUGAGAAUCACAUCCUGAGACAAUGGCGAUCUACUUGUUGAUGAGGGUGAUGCAUUGUUGCAGAGUAUUUGUUCAGAUGCAUUAGAACCAUCGCAUUGAAUGGCAAGUGGCCCAGCAGACAUAAAAUUUGUCUCUAUGGCAGCAGUACGAUUUCCAUUGAGUCCAUUUAUCUGU
Long non-coding RNA from Lutzomyia longipalpis, 1379 nucleotides. RefSeq lists it as uncharacterized. The record is from RefSeq and is a predicted model, not a curated record. NCBI's taxonomy places the organism in Eukaryota, Metazoa, Arthropoda, Insecta, Diptera, Psychodidae. The transcript is spliced from 3 exons.